This is a long non-coding RNA of Musa acuminata AAA Group (dessert banana), 383 nucleotides long. RefSeq lists it as uncharacterized. The record is from RefSeq and is a predicted model, not a curated record. NCBI's taxonomy places the organism in Eukaryota, Viridiplantae, Streptophyta, Magnoliopsida, Zingiberales, Musaceae. The transcript has 2 exons.
ACUGUUGAUUAGGGUUUAGAUCAAGAGUAAAGAUUUCUUCUCGGGCGUGGGAUGAUUGGAUCAAGAGGGGUGGUAGGGGAGAAAUGGUCGCAGAGGAUCCUGUGGUUCUGCGCCAUCGGCAGCGCCAUCAGCUUGUACAUGGUGGCCGUCGAGAGGCAGGCGCAGAACCGGCAGCGGAUGAUUUCCGAGGGUUUGAGAGAUUUGGACGGUGCUUCUGACAAAUCUGGAGGCGAGGAUGUGUGAAUCGGUUAGAUAAAUGCCAGAAACUUUGGCCAAGCUUUGAAUCUUGCAUACUGAAACUAUGGUUAUGGCCCAAAGAAAACAAGUGUGAGAACAAACAAGAAUAAGUAGCAUGAGUUAAUUUUUCCUUGGUUUUGCCACAA